This 273-nucleotide ribosomal RNA is filed under the name uncultured bacterium. Its description in RNAcentral is "partial 16S ribosomal RNA". It matches the Rfam family "Bacterial small subunit ribosomal RNA", at positions 523 to 796 of the family's 1533-position model. The record is from RNAcentral.
AUACUUAGGGUGCAAGCGUUAAUCGGAAUUACUGGGCGUAAAGGGCAUGUAGGCGGUUUGGUCCGUCGUUGGUGAAAGGCCCCAGCUUAACUGGGAGCCGCUGACGAUACCACCAGACUAGAGGGCAGCAGAGGUGAGUGGAAUUCCCGGCGUAGCGUUGAUAUGCGUAGAGUUCGGGAGGAACACUAGUGGCGAAGGCGACUCACUGGGCUGUCCCUGACGCUAAGGUGCGAAAGCGUGGGGAGCAAACAGGAUUAGAAACCCCGGUAGUCC